CAGUCGCCGCGGUAACACAGAGGGUGCGAGCGUUAAUCGGAUUUACUGGGCGUAAAGCGUGCGUAGGCGGCUUUUUAAGUCGGAUGUGAAAUCCCUGAGCUUAACUUAGGAAUUGCAUUCGAUACUGGGAAGCUAGAGUAUGGGAGAGGAUGGUAGAAUUCCAGGUGUAGCGGUGAAAUGCGUAGAGAUCUGGAGGAAUACCGAUGGCGAAGGCAGCCAUCUGGCCUAAUACUGACGCUGAGGUACGAAAGCAUGGGGAGCAAACAGGAUUAGAGACCCCAGUAGUCCCUGUCUCUUAUAC
Molecule: ribosomal RNA, 301 nt
Filed under: uncultured bacterium
Lineage: Bacteria
Description: partial 16S ribosomal RNA
Rfam family: Bacterial small subunit ribosomal RNA
Source: RNAcentral